Molecule: non-coding RNA, 693 nt
Organism: Paramisgurnus dabryanus
Lineage: Eukaryota; Metazoa; Chordata; Actinopteri; Cypriniformes; Cobitidae
Source: RefSeq, a predicted model, not a curated record
UCGAACUAGUCUAUUUUCUGUUCAGACACAAAGUUUUCUGAUGGUGAUAUUAUGUCAGUGUGUGUUUGUGUGGGGGUCGUGUGCUGUAAUCUUUGAAAGUUUAUGACCGAACCUUUAUUGGGGAGCGACAAGAGAUCUCCGGCAUCAGUUUGGAUGGAGCAGAGCUGUUAUACUCAAGUCUAUUGCGAAAUUGUCUAAGCUGGUAUUUACUAUUCCUGGUAAAUCGCGGAGAAGAGUGGAAUGAACAAAAAAAGUCAGACCGUGACUAGAAUCACCAGCAGCGUAACAAGGAAAUCUUGGAGCAAAGAGACGCCGAGUGGCUCGUGUUGUCCGGUUUGGAUAUCAGCGGCAAAGCGAACGUUGCGUGUACUAUUGCAAAAUAUAUAGCGGAUCUCCACGGUUAGGAUACAGAACACAACGCUUUGGACGUAUCUUUAAAAAAGAGAAAAAUCAGAGACUUUUUGGAUUUGUCUGGGACAUUUUAAACAUUUUGUGGCAAAUUGGAUUUAAAACAUUUCGGAUACUGGAUACCUAGUUUGAUUUGUCCACAGAGCUUGUUUAAGACGUUUUCACCUCAUUUUAGGGUUUAUUUUUAAUUAAAGGCUUCUUAAAACAUGUAUGAAAAUGUGUAUAUUAUACAAUGAGUCUUAUAUUGUCUGCUCUGACAAAAAUAAAUUAUUAUUUUAGAUCUUA